GAUGAACGCUGGCGGCGUGCCUAAUACAUGCAAGUCGAGCGAACGGACGAGAAGCUUGCUUCUCUGAUGUUAGCGGCGGACGGGUGAGUAACACGUGGAUAACCUACCUAUAAGACUGGGAUAACUUCGGGAAACCGGAGCUAAUACCGGAUAAUAUUUUGAACCGCAUGGUUCAAAAGUGAAAGACGGUCCUGCUGUCACUUAUAGAUGGAUCCGCGCUGCAUUAGCUAGUUGGUAAGGUAACGGCUUACCAAGGCAACGAUGCAUAGCCGACCUGAGAGGGUGAUCGGCCACACUGGAACUGAGACACGGUCCAGACUCCUACGGGAGGCAGCAGUAGGGAAUCUUCCGCAAUGGGCGAAAGCCUGACGGAGCAACGCCGCGUGAGUGAUGAAGGUCUUCGGAUCGUAAAACUCUGUUAUUAGGGAAGAACAUAUGUGUAAGUAACUGUGCACAUCUUGACGGUACCUAAUCAGAAAGCCACGGCUAACUAUGUG
This 497-nucleotide ribosomal RNA is filed under the name uncultured bacterium. RNAcentral describes it as "partial 16S ribosomal RNA". It matches the Rfam family "Bacterial small subunit ribosomal RNA", at positions 28 to 507 of the family's 1533-position model. The record is from RNAcentral.